This 464-nucleotide ribosomal RNA is filed under the name uncultured bacterium. RNAcentral's name for it is "partial 16S ribosomal RNA". It matches the Rfam family "Bacterial small subunit ribosomal RNA", at positions 28 to 507 of the family's 1533-position model. The record is from RNAcentral.
GACGAACGCUGGCGGCGUGCUUAACACAUGCAAGUCGAACGGAAAGGCCCCUUUGGGGGUACUCGAGUGGCGAACGGGUGAGUAACACGUGAGUAACCUGCCCUUGACUUCGGGAUAACUUCAGGAAACUGGGGCUAAUACCGGAUAGGAAUCCUUGCUGCAUGGUGGGGGUUGGAAAGCUUCGGCGGUUUGGGAUGGACUCGCGGCUUAUCAGCUUGUUGGUGGGGUAGUGGCUUACCAAGGCUUUGACGGGUAGCCGGCCUGAGAGGGCGACCGGCCACAUUGGGACUGAGAUACGGCCCAGACUCCUACGGGAGGAAGCGGUGGGGAAUAUUGCACAAUGGGCGGAAGCCUGAUGCAGCAACGCCGCGUGCGGGAUGACGGCCUUCGGGUUGUAAACCGCUUUCGCCGGGGCCGAAGCUUGUGUUGCGGUUACUGGCAAAGAAGCACCGGCUAACUACGUG